UAACGCGUGGGUAACCUGCCUUGCACUGGGGGAUAACACUUAGAAAUAGGUGCUAAUACCGCAUAAGCGCACGAAGCCGCAUGGAUUUGUGUGAAAAACUCCGGUGGUGUAAGAUGGACCCGCGUCUGAUUAGCUUGUUGGCGGGGUAACGGCCCACCAAGGCGACGAUCAGUAGCCGGCCUGAGAGGGUGGACGGCCACAUUGGGACUGAGACACGGCCCAAACUCCUACGGGAGGCAGCAGUGGGGGAUAUUGGACAAUGGGGGGAACCCUGAUCCAGCGACGCCGCGUGAGUGAAGAAGUAUUUCGGUAUGUAAAGCUCUGUCAGCAGGGAAGAAAGAAAUGACGGUACCUGACCAAGAAGCCCCGGCUAACUACGUGCCAGCAGCCGCGGUAAUACGUAGGGGGCAAGCGUUAUCCGGAAUUACUGGGUGUAAAGGGAGCGUAGACGGUUAAGUAAGUCUGGAGUGAAAGGCCGGGGCCCAACCCCGGGACUGCUCUGGAAACUAUUCAACUUGAGUGCAGGAGAGGUAAGCGGAAUUCCUAGUGUAGCGGUGAAAUGCGUAGAUAUUAGGAGGAACACCAGUGGCGAAGGCGGCUUACUGGACUGUAACUGACGUUGAGGCUCGAAAGCGUGGGGAGCAAACAGGAUUAGAUACCCUGGUAGU
Molecule: ribosomal RNA, 668 nt
Filed under: uncultured bacterium
Lineage: Bacteria
Description: bacterial SSU rRNA
Rfam family: Bacterial small subunit ribosomal RNA
Source: RNAcentral